AACGAACGCUGGCGGCGUGGAUAAGACAUGCAAGUCGAACGCUCAUUCAUCUGCAGCAAUGUAGAUGAGUGGGAGUGGCGCAAGGGUGCGUAACACGUGGGUAAUUUGCCGCGAAGUUGG
This 120-nucleotide ribosomal RNA is filed under the name uncultured bacterium. RNAcentral describes it as "partial 16S ribosomal RNA". It matches the Rfam family "Bacterial small subunit ribosomal RNA", at positions 29 to 140 of the family's 1533-position model. The record is from RNAcentral.